RNAcentral lists this ribosomal RNA (253 nucleotides) under uncultured bacterium. RNAcentral describes it as "partial 16S ribosomal RNA". It matches the Rfam family "Bacterial small subunit ribosomal RNA", at positions 524 to 776 of the family's 1533-position model. The record is from RNAcentral.
UACAGAGGUCUCAAGCGUUGUUCGGAUUCAUUGGGCGUAAAGGGUGCGUAGGCGGCGCGGUAAGUCGGGUGUGAAAUCUCGGAGCUUAACUCCGAAACUGCAUUCGAUACUGCCGUGCUUGAGGACUGGAGAGGAGAUUGGAAUUCGCGGUGUAGCAGUGAAAUGCGUAGAUAUCGUGAGGAAGACCAGUGGCGAAGGCGGAUCUCUGGACAGCUCCUGACGCUGAGGCGCGAAGGCUAGGGGAGCAAACGGG